This 401-nucleotide ribosomal RNA is filed under the name uncultured bacterium. RNAcentral's name for it is "partial 16S ribosomal RNA". It matches the Rfam family "Archaeal small subunit ribosomal RNA", at positions 473 to 873 of the family's 1478-position model. The record is from RNAcentral.
ACACCGGCAGCCCAAGUGGUGGCCAUUUUUAUUGGGCCUAAAGCGUUCGUAGCCGGCCUGAUAAGUCUCUGGUGAAAUCCCGCAGCUUAACUGUGGGAAUUGCUGGAGAUACUAUCAGGCUUGAGGUCGGGAGAGGUUAGAGGUACUCCCAGGGUAGGGGUGAAAUCCUAUAAUCCUGGGAGGACCACCUGUGGCGAAGGCGUCCAGCUGGAACGAACCUGACGGUGAGGGACGAAAGCCAGGGGCGCGAACCGGAUUAGAUACCCGGGUAGUCCUGGCCGUAAACGAUGUGGACUUGGUGUUGGGAUGGCUUCGAGCUGCCCCAGUGCCGAAGGGAAGCUGUUAAGUCCACCGCCUGGGAAGUACGGUCGCAAGGCUGAAACUUAAAGGAAUUGGCGGGG